This 229-nucleotide ribosomal RNA is filed under the name uncultured bacterium. RNAcentral's name for it is "partial 16S ribosomal RNA". It matches the Rfam family "Bacterial small subunit ribosomal RNA", at positions 57 to 305 of the family's 1533-position model. The record is from RNAcentral.
GCAAGUUGAACGGGAUGAUACCUUCGGGUGUCGGCGAGUAGCGCACGGGUGCGUAACGCGUAGGAAUAUACCAUAUAGUAGAGAAUAACUAUUAGAAAUGAUAGCUAAUACUCUAUAGUCCCUUCGGGGUAAGAUUUAUCGCUAUAUGAUUAGCCUGCGUUAGAUUAGCUAGUUGGUGAGGUAAUUGCUCACCAAGGCUACGAUCUAUAGCUGGUCUGAGAGGAUGAUC